RNAcentral lists this long non-coding RNA (224 nucleotides) under Lathyrus oleraceus (garden pea). Its description in RNAcentral is "Pisum sativum (pea) long non-coding RNA (PSAT_LNC011783)". The record is from RNAcentral. Lineage: Eukaryota; Viridiplantae; Streptophyta; Magnoliopsida; Fabales; Fabaceae.
CGAAGCUGUUAUUUUGAACCUGUGACUUAUGGAAUUCAUCUGCUACAUCGGCCAAUUUGAAGAAGAUUAUGGAGUGGCUAAAGCUUGGAUGUGGCUAUCUUUAUUUGAUUCCUUUCUCUUCAAGUUAAUAUAAUUGUGCAUGUUGUUGUUUGAUUCUAAAAAGUCAAAGGGAAUUAUGGGUUUCUAUUGACAUUCUUGUCUAUUGGAUUGCUACCCACUUGGUC